RNAcentral lists this transfer RNA (66 nucleotides) under Nautilus macromphalus (bellybutton nautilus). Its description in RNAcentral is "tRNA-Pro". The record is from RNAcentral. Lineage: Eukaryota; Metazoa; Mollusca; Cephalopoda; Nautilida; Nautilidae.
CAGAAGGUAGUUUAUGUAAAAUUUUAAUAUUGGAAAUUAGUGAUUGAGGAAGGCCUUAUCUUCUGA